GCCAUUCUUUGUUGUAGCUGCUUUAUCAUCUUGUUUUUCUCAACAAUUUGCUGUUCCAGCUCUCUGUUAUCCUUCUGAAGUUGAAUGACAUCUGUAGCUGUUACCUCUCCAUUCUGUUCUGUCGCACAAUUUUCUGGAAGAUGUAAGUGCUCAUUCAAGCCUCUUGCUGAUUCUUCUAGUUCUGAAACAUUUUUCUCAUGUUCUCUGGCCAAUAGGAACUCCUGUAUCUGCAGCUUCAAUUCUUCUAUUUCCUUCCUUGCUGUUUCUUCUUUCUCCACUG
This 280-nucleotide long non-coding RNA is filed under the name Gallus gallus (chicken). Lineage: Eukaryota; Metazoa; Chordata; Aves; Galliformes; Phasianidae. The record is from RNAcentral.